This 450-nucleotide ribosomal RNA is filed under the name uncultured bacterium. RNAcentral describes it as "bacterial SSU rRNA". It matches the Rfam family "Bacterial small subunit ribosomal RNA", at positions 28 to 507 of the family's 1533-position model. The record is from RNAcentral.
GAUGAACGCUGGCGGCGUGCUUAACACAUGCAAGUCGAACGAACCUUCGGGUUAGUGGCGGACGGGUGAGUAACGCGUGAGAAUCUGCCCUCAGGAGGGGGACAACAGUUGGAAACGACUGCUAAUACCCCAUAUGCCGCGAGGUGAAAUGAAUUUCGCCUGAGGAUGAGCUCGCGUCUGAUUAGCUAGUUGGUGGGGUAAAGGCCUACCAAGGCAUCGAUCAGUAGCUGGUCUGAGAGGAAGAUCCCCCACACUGGUACUGAGACACGGACCAGACUCCUACGGGAGGCAGCAGUGAGGAAUAUUGGUCAAUGGACGAAAGUCUGAACCAGCCAUGCCGCGUGAAGGAUGACGGCCCUACGGGUUGUAAACUUCUUUUGUAUAGGAAGAAACCCCUCUACGUGUAGAGGGCUGACGGUACUAUAAGGGUAAGCACCGGCUAACUCCGUG